Molecule: ribosomal RNA, 1316 nt
Filed under: Lactiplantibacillus plantarum
Lineage: Bacteria; Bacillati; Bacillota; Bacilli; Lactobacillales; Lactobacillaceae
Description: bacterial SSU rRNA
Rfam family: Bacterial small subunit ribosomal RNA
Source: RNAcentral
AGUAACACGUGGGAAACCUGCCCAGAAGCGGGGGAUAACACCUGGAAACAGAUGCUAAUACCGCAUAACAACUUGGACCGCAUGGUCCGAGUUUGAAAGAUGGCUUCGGCUAUCACUUUUGGAUGGUCCCGCGGCGUAUUAGCUAGAUGGUGGGGUAACGGCUCACCAUGGCAAUGAUACGUAGCCGACCUGAGAGGGUAAUCGGCCACAUUGGGACUGAGACACGGCCCAAACUCCUACGGGAGGCAGCAGUAGGGAAUCUUCCACAAUGGACGAAAGUCUGAUGGAGCAACGCCGCGUGAGUGAAGAAGGGUUUCGGCUCGUAAAACUCUGUUGUUAAAGAAGAACAUAUCUGAGAGUAACUGUUCAGGUAUUGACGGUAUUUAACCAGAAAGCCACGGCUAACUACGUGCCAGCAGCCGCGGUAAUACGUAGGUGGCAAGCGUUGUCCGGAUUUAUUGGGCGUAAAGCGAGCGCAGGCGGUUUUUUAAGUCUGAUGUGAAAGCCUUCGGCUCAACCGAAGAAGUGCAUCGGAAACUGGGAAACUUGAGUGCAGAAGAGGACAGUGGAACUCCAUGUGUAGCGGUGAAAUGCGUAGAUAUAUGGAAGAACACCAGUGGCGAAGGCGGCUGUCUGGUCUGUAACUGACGCUGAGGCUCGAAAGUAUGGGUAGCAAACAGGAUUAGAUACCCUGGUAGUCCAUACCGUAAACGAUGAAUGCUAAGUGUUGGAGGGUUUCCGCCCUUCAGUGCUGCAGCUAACGCAUUAAGCAUUCCGCCUGGGGAGUACGGCCGCAAGGCUGAAACUCAAAGGAAUUGACGGGGGCCCGCACAAGCGGUGGAGCAUGUGGUUUAAUUCGAAGCUACGCGAAGAACCUUACCAGGUCUUGACAUACUAUGCAAAUCUAAGAGAUUAGACGUUCCCUUCGGGGACAUGGAUACAGGUGGUGCAUGGUUGUCGUCAGCUCGUGUCGUGAGAUGUUGGGUUAAGUCCCGCAACGAGCGCAACCCUUAUUAUCAGUUGCCAGCAUUAAGUUGGGCACUCUGGUGAGACUGCCGGUGACAAACCGGAGGAAGGUGGGGAUGACGUCAAAUCAUCAUGCCCCUUAUGACCUGGGCUACACACGUGCUACAAUGGAUGGUACAACGAGUUGCGAACUCGCGAGAGUAAGCUAAUCUCUUAAAGCCAUUCUCAGUUCGGAUUGUAGGCUGCAACUCGCCUACAUGAAGUCGGAAUCGCUAGUAAUCGCGGAUCAGCAUGCCGCGGUGAAUACGUUCCCGGGCCUUGUACACACCGCCCGUCACACCAUGAGAGUU